GGGGGAAUGGCGGGGGACUGCAAUGCAAGUCGAGCGGUUACAUCUGCAGCUUGCUGUGUGCUGACGAGCGGCGGACGGGUGAGUAAUGCUUAGGAAUCUGCCCGAUAGUGGGGGAUAACCUGGGGAAACCCUUGCUAAUACCGCAUACGACCUACGGGAGAAAGGGGGCUCCUGCUCCCGCUAUGGGAUGAGCCUAUGUCUGAUUAACUAAUUGGUGAGGGAAGGGCUCACCAAGGCCGCGAUCCAUAUCUGGCCUGAGAGGAUGAUCAACCACAUCCGGACUGAGAGACGGCCCGAACUCCUACUGAAGGCAGGCCUGGGGACUAUUGGACAAUGGGGGAAAGCCUGAUUCAGCCAUGCCGCGUGUGUGAAUAAAGCCCUCCGGUUGGAUUGAACUUUCUUUUAGGAACAAAGCCUACGCAGAUUAAUACCCGCUAGCAAGGACAUAUCUCACAGAACAAGCAGCCGGCUAACUCCGUGCCAACAGCCGCGGUAAUACAGAGGGCGCAAGCGUUAAUCGGUAAUUACUGGGCAUAAAGGCGCGCGUAUGUGGCCUAAUUAGCCGGAUGAUAAGAGCCCGCGGGCUCCAACCUGGGAACAGCAUCCGGAACUGUCAAGCUAGAGUGCUUGAGAGGAGAGGAAGGUAGAAUUCCCGGUGUAGCGGAGAAAAGGCAUACAGAUCGGGAGGAACACAAGGGGAGAAAGGCGGCCUUCGUGGACUGACACUGACACUGAGCUGAUGAAAGCGUGGGGUAGGCAAACAGGAUUAGAUACCCUGGUAGUCCACGCCAUAAACGAUGUCGACCAGUCCCGUGGGGGUGCCUAGAGCACUUUGUGUGCGAAGUCAACGCAAUAAGUCGACCGCCUGGGCGAGUACAGGCACGCAAGGUCUAAAACUCAAAUGAAUAUGACUGGGGGCCCGCACAAGCGGAGGAGCAUGGUGGACUUAAUUCGAUGCAACGACAAGAACCUUAACUACGUCUUGACAUCCGGAGAAUUUGGUAGAGAUAGCAUUACUGCCUUUCGCGAACAGAAGAGACAGGUGCUGCAUUGGCUUGUCGUCACGCCUCGUGUUGUGAAAUGGUGGGUUAGAGUCCCGUAACGUAUAGCGCAACCCUUGUCCUUAUUUGCCAGCGUGUAAUGGCGGGAACUCUAAGGAGACUGCCGGUGACAAACCGGAGGAAGGGGGGGACGACGUCAAGUCAUCAUGGCCCUUACGAGUAGGGCUACACACGUGCACAAUGGUCGGUACAAAGGGUUGCCAACUCGCGAGAGUGAGCCAAUUCCGAAAAGCCGAUUUCAGUCCGGAUCGGAGUCAACAACUCUUUCGGAGAAGUAGGAAUCGGUAGUAAUCGAUGAUCAGAAUGCCACGGUGAAUAUGUUCGGGCGCCUUCCCACACCGCGUUGUCACCCCAUGGGAGUGGACUGCACCAGAAGUUUUAGCAUCACGCAAGAGGGCGCUCACACAGCGGUCGUUUAUCGGUUG
Molecule: ribosomal RNA, 1486 nt
Filed under: Vreelandella aquamarina
Lineage: Bacteria; Pseudomonadati; Pseudomonadota; Gammaproteobacteria; Oceanospirillales; Halomonadaceae
Description: bacterial SSU rRNA
Rfam family: Bacterial small subunit ribosomal RNA
Source: RNAcentral